GACGAACGCUGGCGGCGUGCUUAACACAUGCAAGUCGAACGGAAAGGCCCUGCUUUUGUGGGGUGCUCGAGUGGCGAACGGGUGAGUAACACGUGAGUAACCUGCCCUUGACUUUGGGAUAACUUCAGGAAACUGGGGCUAAUACCGGAUAGGAGCUCCUGCUGCAUGGUGGGGGUUGGAAAGUUUCGGCGGUUGGGGAUGGACUCGCGGCUUAUCAGCUUGUUGGUGGGGUAGUGGCUUACCAAGGCUUUGACGGGUAGCCGGCCUGAGAGGGUGACCGGCCACAUUGGGACUGAGAUACGGCCCAGACUCCUACGGGAGGCAGCAGUGGGGAAUAUUGCACAAUGGGCGGAAGCCUGAUGCAGCAACGCCGCGUGCGGGAUGACGGCCUUCGGGUUGUAAACCGCUUUCGCCUGUGACGAAGCGUGAGUGACGGUAAUGGGUAAAGAAGCACCGGCUAACUACGUGCCAGCAGCCGCGGUGAUACGUAGGGUGCGAGCGUUGUCCGGAUUUAUUGGGCGUAAAGGGCUCGUAGGUGGUUGAUCGCGUCGGAAGUGUAAUCUUGGGGCUUAACCCUGAGCGUGCUUUCGAUACGGGUUGACUUGAGGAAGGUAGGGGAGAAUGGAAUUCCUGGUGGAGCGGUGGAAUGCGCAGAUAUCAGGAGGAACACCAGUGGCGAAGGCGGUUCUCUGGGCCUUUCCUGACGCUGAGGAGCGAAAGCGUGGGGAGCGAACAGGCUUAGACACCCUGGUAGUCCACGCUGUAAACGGUGGGUACUAGGUGUGGGGUCCAUUCCACGGGUUCCGUGCCGUAGCUAACGCUUUAAGUACCCCGCCUGGGGAGUACGGCCGCAAGGCUAAAACUCAAAGGAAUUGACGGGGCCCCGCACAAGCGGCGGAGCAUGCGGAUUAAUUCGAUGCAACGCGUAGAACCUUACCUGGGUUUGACAUGGAUCGGGAGUGCUCAGAGAUGGGUGUGCCUCUUUUGGGGUCGGUUCACAGGUGGUGCAUGGCUGUCGUCAGCUCGUGUCGUGAGAUGUUGGGUUAAGUCCCGCAACGAGCGCAACCCUUGUUCACUGUUGCCAGCACGUUAUGGUGGGGACUCAGUGGAGACCGCCGGGGUCAACUCGGAGGAAGGUGGGGAUGACGUCAAGUCAUCAUGCCCCUUAUGUCCAGGGCUUCACGCAUGCUACAAUGGCUGGUACAGAGAGUGGCGAGCCUGUGAGGGUGAGCGAAUCUCGGAAAGCCGGUCUCAGUUCGGAUUGGGGUCUGCAACUCGACCUCAUGAAGUCGGAGUCGCUAGUAAUCGCAGAUCAGCAACGCUGCGGUGAAUACGUUCCCGGG
Molecule: ribosomal RNA, 1343 nt
Filed under: uncultured bacterium
Lineage: Bacteria
Description: 16S ribosomal RNA
Rfam family: Bacterial small subunit ribosomal RNA
Source: RNAcentral